UAGGGAAUCUUCCGCAAUGGGCGAAAGCUUGACGGAGCAACGCCGCGUGAGUGAUGAAGGUCUUCGGAUCGUAAAACUCUGUUAUUAGGGAAGAACAAAUGUGUAAGUAACUAUGCACGUCUUGACGGUACCUAAUCAGAAAGCCACGGCUAACUACGUGCCCGCAGCUGCGGUAAUACGUAGGCGGCAAGCGUUAUCCGGAAUUAUUGGGCGUAAAGCGCGCGUAGGCGGUUAUUUAAGUAUGAUGGGAAAGCCCACGGCACAAGCGUGGAGGGUAAUUGGAAACGGGAAAACUUGCGUGCAGAAGAGGAAAGUGGAGUUCCAUGUGUAGCGGUGAAAUGCGCAGAGAUAUGGAGGAACGCCGGUGGCGAAGGCGACUUUCUGGUCUGUAACGGACGCUGAUGUGCGAAAGCGUGGGGAUCAAACAGG
Molecule: ribosomal RNA, 429 nt
Filed under: Actinomycetes bacterium
Lineage: Bacteria; Bacillati; Actinomycetota; Actinomycetes
Description: Actinobacteria bacterium partial 16S ribosomal RNA
Rfam family: Bacterial small subunit ribosomal RNA
Source: RNAcentral